This 75-nucleotide transfer RNA is filed under the name Hemiselmis tepida. It matches the Rfam family "tRNA". Rfam says of the family: Transfer RNA (tRNA) molecules are approximately 80 nucleotides in length. Their secondary structure includes four short double-helical elements and three loops (D, anti-codon, and T loops). Further hydrogen bonds mediate the characteristic L-shaped molecular structure. tRNAs have two regions of fundamental functional importance: the anti-codon, which is responsible for specific mRNA codon recognition, and the 3' end, to which the tRNAs corresponding amino acid is attached (by aminoacyl-tRNA synthetases). tRNAs cope with the degeneracy of the genetic code in two manners: having more than one tRNA (with a specific anti-codon) for a particular amino acid; and 'wobble' base-pairing, i.e. permitting non-standard base-pairing at the 3rd anti-codon position. The record is from RNAcentral. Lineage: Eukaryota; Cryptophyceae; Cryptomonadales; Hemiselmidaceae.
GAUGAUGGCGCAACGGUAGCGCAGUGGACUCCAGUAAUGGGAUAUCCAAAGGCUGUCGGUUCGAAUCCGGUUCAU